Molecule: ribosomal RNA, 253 nt
Filed under: uncultured bacterium
Lineage: Bacteria
Description: partial 16S ribosomal RNA
Rfam family: Bacterial small subunit ribosomal RNA
Source: RNAcentral
UACGUAGGAACCAAGCGUUGUCCGGAAUUACUGGGUGUAAAGGGUGCGCAGGCGGACUUGUGCGUCAGAGGUUAAAUACCACCGCUCAACGGUGGAAAUGCCUUUGAUACGGCAAGUCUUGAGUACGAGAGAGGAUGGUAGAAUUCCUGGUGUAGCGGUGAAAUGCGUAGAUAUCAGGAGGAAUACCAGUGGCGAAGGCGGCCAUCUGGCUCGUUACUGACGCUCAGGCACGAAAGCGUGGGGAGCAAACAGG